This 213-nucleotide long non-coding RNA is filed under the name Prunus dulcis (almond). RNAcentral describes it as "sRNA ncRNA". The record is from RNAcentral. Lineage: Eukaryota; Viridiplantae; Streptophyta; Magnoliopsida; Rosales; Rosaceae.
GAAAAAUUUAGCAGCAUGGAUAUGCAGAAUCUCCACAUCAUGGCACUUUUGUAAAGCAUGGAUGGGUAAAAUUUGCAUCCAGCUCAUCAACUACAUUACUUUGCAUCAUUGACUUAUUUGCAGGUAGCUCAAAGGCAACAAAAUGAAAUACGUUCAUCAAAAUUUGCUCAGUCCAAAAUUCGAAUCACUUAUCUUCGUCCCUCCAGCAAAUCA